This 966-nucleotide ribosomal RNA is filed under the name uncultured Campylobacterota bacterium. Its description in RNAcentral is "bacterial SSU rRNA". It matches the Rfam family "Bacterial small subunit ribosomal RNA", at positions 335 to 1321 of the family's 1533-position model. The record is from RNAcentral. Lineage: Bacteria; Pseudomonadati; Campylobacterota.
ACUCCUACGGGAGGCAGCAGUGGGGAAUAUUGCACAAUGGAGGAAACUCUGAUGCAGCAACGCCGCGUGGAGGAUGACGCAUUUCGGUGUGUAAACUCCUUUUAUAUGGGAAGAUAAUGACGGUACCAUAUGAAUAAGCACCGGCUAACUCCGUGCCAGCAGCCGCGGUAAUACGGAGGGUGCAAGCGUUACUCGGAAUCACUGGGCGUAAAGCGCAUGCAGGCGGUCUAAUAAGUUGGAAGUGAAAGCCUAUGGCUCAACCAUAGAACUGCUUCCAAAACUGUUAGACUAGAGUCUGGGAGGGGAAGAUGGAAUUAGUAGUGUAGGGGUAAAAUCCGUAGAGAUUACUAGGAAUACCAAAAGCGAAGGCGAUCUUCUGGAACAGUACUGACGCUGAGAUGCGAAAGCGUGGGGAGCAAACAGGAUUAGAUACCCUGGUAGUCCACGCAGUAAACGAUGAAUGUUAGUCGUUGGUGUCCUAGAGACAUCAGUGAUGCAGUUAACACAUUAAACAUUCCGCCUGGGGAGUACGGUCGCAAGAUUAAAACUCAAAGGAAUAGACGGGGACCCGCACAAGUGGUGGAGCAUGUGGUUUAAUUCGAAGAUACGCGAAGAACCUUACCUAGCCUUGACAUAUUAUAGAAGACACCAGAGAUGGAGUUGUGCCUUCGGGAGCUAUAUUACAGGUGCUGCACGGCUGUCGUCAGCUCGUGUCGUGAGAUGUUGGGUUAAGUCCCGCAACGAGCGCAACCCUCGUCACUAGUUACUAACGAUUCGGUCGAGGACUCUAGUGAGACUGCCUUCGUAAGGAGGAGGAAGGUGAGGACGACGUCAAGUCAUCAUGGCCCUUACGGCUAGGGCAACACACGUGCUACAAUGGUUAGGACAAUGAGAGGCGAUACCGCGAGGUGGAGCAAUCUAUAAACCUAAUCUCAGUUCGGAUUGUAGUCUGCAACUCGACUACAU